RNAcentral lists this ribosomal RNA (448 nucleotides) under uncultured bacterium. RNAcentral describes it as "bacterial SSU rRNA". It matches the Rfam family "Bacterial small subunit ribosomal RNA", at positions 354 to 796 of the family's 1533-position model. The record is from RNAcentral.
GUGAGGAAUUUUCCGCAAUGGGCGCAAGCCUGACGGAGCGACGCCGCGUGAGGGAUGAAGGUUUUCGGAUUGUAAACCUCUUUUGUCGGGGAAAAAGGGGCGCGUGCGAACCACGCGUUCUUGAUGGUACUCGGCGAAUAAGCCCCGGCUAACUACGUGCCAGCAGCCGCGGUAAUACGUAGGGGGCGAGCGUUGUCCGGAGUUACUGGGCGUAAAGGGCGUGUAGGCGGUUGGACAAGUCUGGUGUGAAAUGCAUUGGCUUAACCGGUGCGCUGCGCUGGAAACUGUCUGACUGGAGUUCGGGAGGGGUGACUGGAAUUCCCGGUGUAACGGUGAAAUGUGUAGAUAUCGGGAGGAACACCUGUGGCGAAGGCGGGUCACUGGACCGGAACUGACGCUGAUACGCGAAAGCGUGGGGAGCAAACAGGAUUAGAAACCCUAGUAGUCC